Molecule: ribosomal RNA, 836 nt
Filed under: Penicillium citreonigrum
Lineage: Eukaryota; Fungi; Ascomycota; Eurotiomycetes; Eurotiales; Aspergillaceae
Description: partial large subunit ribosomal RNA
Rfam family: Eukaryotic large subunit ribosomal RNA
Source: RNAcentral
CGGCGAGUGAAGCGGCAAGAGCUCAAAUUUGAAAGCUGGCCCCCUCGGGGUCCGCAUUGUAAUUUGCAGAGGAUGCUUCGGGAGUGGCCCCCAUCUAAGUGCUCUGGAACGGGCCGUCAUAGAGGGUGAGAAUCCCGUAUGGGAUGGGGUGUCCGCGACCAUGUGAAGCUCCUUCGACGAGUCGAGUUGUUUGGGAAUGCAGCUCUAAAUGGGUGGUAAAUUUCAUCUAAAGCUAAAUAUUGGCCGGAGACCGAUAGCGCACAAGUAGAGUGAUCGAAAGAUGAAAAGCACUUUGAAAAGAGAGUUAAAAAGCACGUGAAAUUGUUGAAAGGGAAGCGCUUGCGACCAGACUCGCCUACGGGGUUCAGCCGGUAUUCGUACCGGUGUACUUCCCCGUGGGCGGGCCAGCGUCGGUUUGGGCGGCCGGUCAAAGGCCCUCGGAAUGUAACGCCUCUCGGGGCGUCUUAUAGCCGAGGGUGCCAUGCGGCCAGCCCGGACCGAGGAACGCGCUUCGGCACGGACGCUGGCAUAAUGGUCGUAAGCGACCCGUCUUGAAACACGGACCAAGGAGUCUAACAUCUACGCGAGUGUUCGGGUGUCAAACCCGUGCGCGCAGUGAAAGCGAACGGAGGUGGGAACCCUCACGGGUGCACCAUCGACCGAUCCUGAAGUCUUCGGAUGGAUUUGAGUAAGAGCGUAGCUGUUGGGACCCGAAAGAUGGUGAACUAUGCCUGAAUAGGGCGAAGCCAGAGGAAACUCUGGUGGAGGCUCGCAGCGGUUCUGACGUGCAAAUCGAUCGUCAAAUUUGGGUAUAGGGGCGAAAGACUAAUCGAACC